CCUGGCGCUGGCCAGCCGGGUAUUGGCCGCCGCCUGCCGGGCGGCAAGCGCCGUAUCCAGACUGGUUUCGCCCAGCCGCCAGGCCC
RNAcentral lists this transfer RNA (86 nucleotides) under Komagataeibacter diospyri. RNAcentral's name for it is "tRNA-Gly". The record is from RNAcentral. Lineage: Bacteria; Pseudomonadati; Pseudomonadota; Alphaproteobacteria; Acetobacterales; Acetobacteraceae.